RNAcentral lists this ribosomal RNA (492 nucleotides) under uncultured bacterium. Its description in RNAcentral is "partial 16S ribosomal RNA". It matches the Rfam family "Bacterial small subunit ribosomal RNA", at positions 29 to 507 of the family's 1533-position model. The record is from RNAcentral.
AGUGAACGCUGGCGGUAGGCCUAACGCAUGCAAGUCGAACGGCAGCACAGUAAGAGCUUGCUCUUACGGGUGGCGAGUGGCGGACGGGUGAGGAAUACAUCGGAAUCUACUUUUUCGUGGGGGAUAACGUAGGGAAACUUACGCUAAUACCGCAUACGACCUACGGUUUAAAUCAGGGGAUCUUCGGACCUUUCGCGCUUUAAUUAGCCGAUGUCGGAUUAGCUAGUUGGCGGGGUAAAGGCCCACCAAGGCGACGAUCCGUAGCUGGUCUGAGAGGAUGAUCAGCCACACUGGAAGUGAGGCACGGUCCAGACUCCUACGGGAGGCAGCAGUGGGGAAUAUUGGACAAUGGGCGCAAGCAUGAUCCAGCAAUACCGCGUGGGUGAAGAAGGCCUUCGGGUUGUAAAGCCCUUUUGUUGGGAAAGAAAAGAAGCAGGUUAAUACCCCGAUGUUCUGACGGUACCAAAAGAAUAAGCACCGGCUAACUUCGUG